UACGUAGGGGGCGAGCGUUGUCCGAAGUUACUGGGCGUAAAGCGCGCGUAGGCGGACUCUUAAGUGAGGGGUGAAAGGUUCAGGGCUCAACCCGAACACUGCCUUUCAUACUGGGAGUCUUGAGUGCGGGAGAGGCGAGUGGAAUGGUCGGUGUAGCGGUGAAAUGCGUAGAUAUCGAUCGGAACACCCAUGGCGAAGGCAGCUCGCUGGCCUGUAACUGACGCUGAGGUGCGAAAGCGUGGGGAGCAAACAGG
RNAcentral lists this ribosomal RNA (254 nucleotides) under uncultured bacterium. RNAcentral's name for it is "partial 16S ribosomal RNA". It matches the Rfam family "Bacterial small subunit ribosomal RNA", at positions 524 to 776 of the family's 1533-position model. The record is from RNAcentral.